This 265-nucleotide signal recognition particle RNA is filed under the name Clostridioides sp. RNAcentral's name for it is "signal recognition particle sRNA large type". It matches the Rfam family "Bacterial large signal recognition particle RNA". From Rfam's summary of the family: The signal recognition particle (SRP) is a universally conserved ribonucleoprotein involved in the co-translational targeting of proteins to membranes. Archaeal SRP consists of a 7S RNA and homologues of the eukaryotic SRP19 and SRP54 proteins. Lineage: Bacteria; Bacillati; Bacillota; Clostridia; Peptostreptococcales; Peptostreptococcaceae. The record is from RNAcentral.
CUGUACUAGACGGGGAGGUAGCGGUGCCCUGUAACCUGCAAUCCGCUAUAGCAGGGUUUAAUUCCAUCUAGAGGCUCGUGUUUUGUGGGGCUGCCCUGAAAAAGUGGUGUUGAAGCCUAGGUCCUGCGCAAUAGAAGCUCAUGAACCCCGUGAGAUCCGGAAGGAAGCAGCGGUAAGUGAUAACUUUUGUGUGCCGCGGGGGUGCCUAGGUAGAGCUAACUAUUCAGGUAACGUCCAUGGAUAUGUGUCGAAGGAUGGUGUACAG